Molecule: non-coding RNA, 71 nt
Organism: Trichonephila inaurata madagascariensis
Lineage: Eukaryota; Metazoa; Arthropoda; Arachnida; Araneae; Nephilidae
Source: the annotation of a GenBank genome assembly
GGGAGUAUAGCUCAGUGGUAGAGCAUUCGACUGAAGAUCGAGAGAUCCUGGUUCAAACCCGGGUGUCUCUU